RNAcentral lists this long non-coding RNA (289 nucleotides) under Mytilus galloprovincialis (Mediterranean mussel). The record is from RNAcentral. Lineage: Eukaryota; Metazoa; Mollusca; Bivalvia; Mytilida; Mytilidae.
UAGUUCAUGUUGUUGUGAAAUAUUCUUUGUUAAGGGUAAAAAAAGGCAUACAUAUUAUGGCAAUCAAGUACUAUAGCAGAGAGGGUAAAAUCUGAAAAUGUACUCUGUUAUUGAUGAAAUAUGAACAAUAUUAAUCUUUUGUUAGAAAAUACAAGCAAGGUAUAACACAGGUACAUCACUGCAGGGGUAAUUACAGCCAGGCAGAUGUCCAACUAAUCCCAUUGGGACAUAUAUAGGAGCAAGGCUUAAAAUGUACAUGAUGUACUGUACAUGAAAAUGCACCAGUUAU